Molecule: small nuclear RNA, 162 nt
Filed under: Canis lupus dingo (dingo)
Lineage: Eukaryota; Metazoa; Chordata; Mammalia; Carnivora; Canidae
Description: U1 spliceosomal RNA (ENSCAFG00020023560.1)
Rfam family: U1 spliceosomal RNA
About the family: U1 is a small nuclear RNA (snRNA) component of the spliceosome (involved in pre-mRNA splicing). Its 5' end forms complementary base pairs with the 5' splice junction, thus defining the 5' donor site of an intron.
Source: RNAcentral
AUACUUACCUGGCAGGGGAGAUACCAUGAUCACGAAGGUGGUUUUCCCAGGGCGAGGCUUAUCCAUUGCACUCCGGAUGUGCUGACCCCUGCGAUUUCCCCAAAUGGGGGAAACUCGACUGCAUAAUUGUGGUAGUGGGGGAUGCGUUCGCGCUUUCCCCUG